RNAcentral lists this ribosomal RNA (580 nucleotides) under uncultured bacterium. RNAcentral's name for it is "bacterial SSU rRNA". It matches the Rfam family "Bacterial small subunit ribosomal RNA", at positions 337 to 917 of the family's 1533-position model. The record is from RNAcentral.
UCCUACGGGAGGCAGCAGUGAGGAAUAUUGGUCAAUGGACGCAAGUCUGAACCAGCCAUCCCGCGUGAAGGAUGACUGCCCUAUGGGUUGUAAACUUCUUUUAUAUGCAAAUAAACCUACUUUCGUGAAAGUAGCUGAAGGUAGCAUAUGAAUAAACACCGGCUAACUCCGUGCCAGCAGCCGCGGUAAUACGGAGGGUGUAAGCGUUAUCCGGAUUUAUUGGGUUUAAAGGGUACGUAGGCGGUAAUAUAAGUCAGUGGUGAAAUUCUGCAGCUCAACUGUAGAACUGCCAUUGAAACUGUAUUACUUGAGUAUACUUGAGGUAGGCGGAAUGAGUAGUGUAGCGGUGAAAUGCUUAGAUAUUACUCAGAACACCGAUUGCGAAGGCAGCUUACUAAGGUAUAACUGACGCUGAUGUACGAAAGCGUGGGGAGCGAACAGGAUUAGAUACCCUGGUAGUCCACGCCGUAAACGAUGAUUACUCGCUGUUGGCGAUACACAGUCAGUGGCUAAGCGAAAGUUUUAAGUAAUCCACCUGGGGAGUACGCUCGCAAGAGUGAAACUCAAAGGAAUUGACGGA